GGGAAUCGGAGUCGACUUCUGCUUCAAGAGGAAUGGCAAGGCUGUAGAGCUGAGAUGAGAAACUGUAAACUUGCUCAGCCAAAGGAGGCUAAUAAUGAAGGGGCCAGGGAAAGAGGCCAAUGCUACAGGGUUAUCUCCUAACCUCAGAUGUUGGAUAAGUCCACGGAAACAGCAGCGCUUCAGGAUGGCUUCAGAAAGGCUGGAGUGAUUGUUUGGAAGAGAAAAACCUGCCUAUUCAUUCAAAGAUGUUAGUCUAUCUAGAACAACAGAUUUGGAUCUAAGCUGGACCUUUGAGAAAGAAAAGACUUCGAGGAAAGACACCUUUACAUGUGUUUUAAUUACCUUUCACCUGAAUUGUUUAAUGCACACUAUCCAAACUAUAUUCAUCUGUCUUGCUUCCUGUGUAUUUCUUCUU
This 415-nucleotide long non-coding RNA is filed under the name Mus pahari (shrew mouse). RNAcentral describes it as "lncRNA (MGP_PahariEiJ_G0006465.1)". The stretch from base 106 to 245 matches the Rfam family "Rhabdomyosarcoma 2 associated transcript conserved region 8". Lineage: Eukaryota; Metazoa; Chordata; Mammalia; Rodentia; Muridae. The record is from RNAcentral.